This 472-nucleotide ribosomal RNA is filed under the name Veillonella dispar. RNAcentral describes it as "bacterial SSU rRNA". It matches the Rfam family "Bacterial small subunit ribosomal RNA", at positions 28 to 477 of the family's 1533-position model. Lineage: Bacteria; Bacillati; Bacillota; Negativicutes; Veillonellales; Veillonellaceae. The record is from RNAcentral.
GACGAACGCUGGCGGCGUGCUUAACACAUGCAAGUCGAACGAAGAGCGAUGGAAGCUUGCUUCUAUCAAUCUUAGUGGCGAACGGGUGAGUAACGCGUAAUCAACCUGCCCUUCAGAGGGGGACAUCAGUUGGAAACGACUGCUAAUACCGCAUACGAUCUAACCUUGGCAUCGAGGAUGGAUGAAAGGUGGCCUCUAUUUAUAAGCUAUCACUGAAGGAGGGGAUUGCGUCUGAUUAGCUAGUUGGAGGGGUAACGGCCCACCAAGGCGAUGAUCAGUAGCCGGUCUGAGAGGAUGAACGGCCACAUUGGGACUGAGACACGGCCCAGACUCCUACGGGAGGCAGCAGUGGGGAAUCUUCCGCAAUGGACGAAAGUCUGACGGAGCAACGCCGCGUGAGUGAUGACGGCCUUCGGGUUGUAAAGCUCUGUUAAUCGGGACGAAAGGCCUUCUUGCGAAUAGUUAGAAGGAU